Pseudopipra pipra is the source of this 5167-nucleotide long non-coding RNA. RefSeq lists it as uncharacterized. The record is from RefSeq and is a predicted model, not a curated record. NCBI's taxonomy places the organism in Eukaryota, Metazoa, Chordata, Aves, Passeriformes, Pipridae. The transcript has 4 exons.
GGAUAUACAUCUUAAAGAGUCCCUUAGCUGCUUUUGGCAAUUCCCUGUUUCAUUCAUUCUGUUGAAUAUUUUGUAAGUAUGCAUUGUCAGACCUUGACUGAAGAUGAAAGUAAGGUGUCAAAUGUUUAAUAUUAAAAUAUAUACUAAAUAAAAAACACUUCUCUUUACUAGAUGUAAGAGGUGUUGGAUUUAUAUAUGUUACUGUAUUUUUUUCUACUUUGUCAAAGUGAGAAUAGUGAGAAAAAUUAUGCUCAGUUGGAUGGCAGCAGAAUCAUUUAGACUUAUAUUACCUCUGCAAAAUAAACCAGGACUGUUAUUAUGGGCAAGGAUUAUAACCUGAGAUGUAUUUGUUCACCAUGAGGUAGAGAUGUAACUAUUUCUUUCUAUACAUAUGAAACCAAAGUGCAGAAAAAUGCAGAAACUUCCUCAGGGUGUCACAAACAGCACUGAUGGAGACAAAUUCCAAAGUUUUCAGGUUGACAACUGGACUAUAUAUUUAGUUUCUAAAUUGAAAUGGAACUCAGCUUGCCGCCUAAAGCCAGCUGUCAUGGGAUAAUUUUAUUACACUGAGAUGGGAAUGAAACUCCCAACUCUAAGUGAUUAUUAUACUUUUAUAGGAAAGUGUUUUAUAUUUUUAUAGGAAAGAUAUAAUCAUGGUGGUUAAAAAAGACCUUUUCUAUUCUAGUAAGAAGACUUCCACUAGGUAUAAGCAUAUAAGAACUCCUAAUAGCGGUGCGUCACCUUUAACUGGCCUUGAAGAAAGGUAAUGUGAUACCAUUCAAAAUAGGCAAAACCAUAAAAAGUAGUUUCUUGUUUAUUCAAUCACUUAAUACUAGAAUAACUGGAAAUGCCAAGAACUAUUGAAUAGAAGUCAACUUAAAGCUGCCACAGCAUACUACAGUAUUUCCUAAUGAACAUACCAAAUUCACUAACACUCAGAAUGCUUUCUUUAUUGAGUCUAAGGAAUAAAUGUGAUACACAUCUUUAAGUUUUAUAUUUCACAUCCUGAAGGCAGCAAGUGUUUUAUGUUCUUGAAGUCAAGUGACUAUGGGAGGGUUUCAUGUAAUUUUUACCAUUUUUAAAGGGAUUGCAGAGCUCACAUUUAAAAAAGUACACGAUCUGUAUGUAAACCAAAAGCCUUUGAAAUUAAAAAAAAAAAUCCAAUUUUUUAAUAAUUUAUUUAUGAUUUACAUUAAUCUCUUGAAUCUUUGAUAUAUAACAAUUAUUUAACUGCAGGAUUUAGCAAGACGUAGCUGCUAAAGCGUGCAACAGAUGAAUGCUGCUUUAAUUUUGAAACAUUACAUUUAUUCCUUUCUUCCCAUUGCAGCUAUAUUGAGUGCAAGCUGCAGUCAAGCUAAAUAAAGCUCAACAAACCAGUACCAUUUUAAAUGAUGCACAGGUAAAGAAACUAAUGAGUGGAAUGACUUCAUUUGUUCAGUUCCUUUCAGCUCAGGCAGAAUGACAGCCAGUCUGGAGAAACUGCUAAUGAAACUUACUGCCAUUCUAAAAAUAAAAAUCACAGCUUGAAAUGUAAUGCCUGUGCCUCUGUGGAAUCUAAAGGAAAUAGAAAUGUAGCUAUAAGUAACUGUUUGGAAAGAUAUCGGUAUAUUACAAUGUUUACUGGUAAUCAAUAAGCCUGUAUUAACCAUUUUGAAGGACUCUCUAUACCUCUCCUAAAGUAAGGAGCUUUAUUUAUUGAAAAAAAGGAAAAGGAAGUUAAAUUCCCAUAUCCUGUUACCAUUGUGAGAAUUGCAUGUAUGGGAUUUAACAUAAGAAAUUGCAAAGGAAACAAAAUGCUACUCCAGGCUCAGAAAAUAUUAUUCUUUUUUUAGUAACUUAUUCCAUACAGUUCAUUUUGUGAAAAGUUUCAUUUCACUUGAAAAAUGAAAUCCUGCAAGAAAAGAUUUUUUUCUGAAUGGUUAUAAUCUUAAACAAUUUUUUGUGCCUCAGGCUCAAAUAAUAAACAAUUCCAAUCUCUCAGAUCACACUCAGAACUUUAUAAAUCACUGUGGAUUUUGCAUGCAUGUUCAUCUUCUUUCCCAGACUCACAGUAAGCUUAAAUGGAUGGACACUACAUUUAUGUUGAAAUCAAUCUCACUCCUUCUUAGGACAAGAAUUUCUAAAAGCAGGCACAAUAAUAAUUUCAAGAAGUAUGUAUCUGGCAAGUAAAGGUGAAUAGUAAAAAGGGGGAAGAAUCUAGGACAUACGGGUUUCCUAUGCCUAGCCAAGUCAAAAUAGGAAUAGAGAGAAAGUGUGAGAUGAUACCUAAUCCACAAGGAGUCUUAUAUGCACAAUAAUGUUCAAAGCAUUGGUCACAUUUCCUUUAUUAUUCCUCAUUUUAACCAGUCUUGCAUACACCUCCACACAUGAAUACAAAAUACAUGGUUACCUGCCAUCUUCUGUAGAAGAUGACAAUUGUUCUCAUGGAUCACAGGAGAGCUAAGAGGUGAACACAUCAAGCUGACCAUAGAACAAGCCAAUCUAAAUUUCCACUGUUAAUACAAGGACCUGUAGGUAAAUUAAUACACAAAAUUGUGUACCUCUAAGUUUAAAUCAGGUGCUUAAUUAUGAACAGGAAUUUGUUGGUAUCAAAAGGAAGCACACUGUAAAGUGCAAAGUAAAGAAAAUGAGUGGUGUCACACAGUAAUUCUAGUGGAUGAAGGAUUGCAUGACAUUAUCAGGUAGAACCUCUUGCUUCCUUAUUCUAGGCACUAUGUUUUGUAUCUUUUAGAAAGCAAAGGCUCUCUUUAAGAGAAAUGAAAUAUUGAUUUCAGGUUCUAGCUAGACUCCAUUAAGAUGCUCUUUUAAGUUAUAUUGUGUCUGCAAAGAGUAGAGUUUUAUGAACAUAAAUCAGUUUUCUAGUCCAUAAGUGGGCUUUUCAUAAGCACCCAUAUAUAAUUCACCCAACUUUCCUGUGAAUCAAUAGAACUUGACUCACAGCUUUCCUAAGCACUUUCAAAAAACCUUACCCGCAUGUCUGGUAUUGAAUAUAUCAAUGAUGACAAAGUUAUACUACAGGCAGCCCAUUUGUUUCUGAAUACAGGAGCAAGAGAAACAGCCUUGUGGGGAAAAAAAGGACAAUUGAUGACUCACAAAGCAUUUCUCUGUGUGCUGAAAGCAGAUGAUUUGAAAGUAUAUUUGAAUAAAGAAAGAAGACCUGACCAAUGUGAUAUAUGGUUUGGGAUGCCUCUCAGUCUCUUAGCUCUGCCUACACUGCCAGAGGCACCACUCCCCAAACUCCAAAAGGUGCUUUAACACAACAGACCUGGAGCCUAGGUCAGUGCAAAACACAGGAAGUGGGGAGCCAGCCCUUACAACUCAAAGGGACACUCCACUCCAGCCAGGGUUAAGUGGUCCUUGCUCAGGCUCUGACCUAAGGCUCAUCCUAUUCAGGGUGAACAUCAGCCCUGGAAAUCAAAUUAACAGGGAAAAAAAUGGUGCUUCCUUCCUUAUGUCAUUCUUAGAAUGGUCCAAAUUUUUACUGCAUCUUUGACAAUUCUGUCCAAUUACCUAACCCUGUGAGGAGUGGAGUGGAUUACAGGAGAGCAGGUCAGCCUGAGGGAGGCAUACUGAUAUCCAGAGAAGACUGUUUGUUCAGUGAAGAGUCAGGAACAGUUUUAUUUUUCAGCAAUUACAAUUUGACAUGACUUGUUCCAUACUGUUAUAGUGUGUCCUGGUUUCCUCUGGGAUGUUUUGGAUUUAUUGUGAGAAUGAUGUUGAUAACACACAGACGCUUUAGUUGUUGCUGAGCAGUGCUGGCAUAAAGUCAAGGACAUUUCAGCGUCUCCAUGCUUUGCCAAUGAGGAGCUGCACAAAAAGGUGAUAGGCAGCAUAGCCAUGAUACCUGAUCCAAGCUGGACAAAGGGAUAUUCCAUACCAUGGAACAUCACGUUCUGUCUAUAUACUGAGGGGACUUGGCUGGGAGGUGCCGAUUGCUGCUCAGGGACUGGAUGGGCAUCGGUCAGCAGGUGGUGUUUCAGAAGAUGCCAGGGUGACAUCUCCAUCAAGAUCCUGAAGAUCCUAUAUGUCCAGGAAGUCUGUGAAUGUUCCUAACUUGGAUGGGUGGGAGACUGAUAUGCCAAAGAGCAGGACCUAACAAGAGGCCAAGAGAUGAAGUUGAUGAGGGGGAAGGCUGUGAGUUCUUUUGUAAGAGGUCUUCUAAGUCAAUUGUUCUGAAGUGGACUAUCUUUGUGCCGGCAAGAUCCUACAUCUGCUGUCCUCCAGGAGUACAUACGGGAGUGGAACAGAUCUCUUUUCUGUCAAAUACCCAUUGUUUCAGCUAUAUACACAUGAUGUCCCUGAAUAUUACUGCUAUAUCCCAGCAAACCAAAUUAUCCUGGGCUGUAAAAUAUAUUUCAAUAGAUGAGUUACACACACACAAAAAAUAAAAUCUUCCCUUCCAUAUGUAUUGGUACUGUUUGCCAUCCCUUCCUCCACAACAAUGGAUGUGACAAUGAUGAGAAGUGACUAAUUAGGAAAGUAUUAAAUACCUUUGUAGCUAUCUUUUAAAUGAUGUGGUAGCUGUUCCCUAUAGAAAAUGAGUGGCUGCUCCAUAGCCAGGCAGUGGGUUUUUUCGAGUCACUUCCCAGGUCACCAGGAAGCAAGAGCACAGGAUAUGAGCUGUCAUUAACAGACCAACUCCCAUCCCACCGUCUCCACCUUCUGUCUCUGCCCACUCUUAUCGAACAGCCAAACCUCAAAAGAGACAUUACUCAGUAACGCUGAUAAGGACACCAGCAUCUGACCCGCACCUCUGCCCCUCUUUUGCAGAACAAAAGCGGAACAUAAUCACCUGCUACUGCGGAGAUUUUUUCAUAAUAAAAGCUUGAAUAAGCAUAGGCUUUGAUUGAUAUAUUUUGCAGAGCUGUGUGUCCAUUUACAUAAGUAUUUGGGUUCAUUUGUCAAUGUGUGUUCAAUUUUUUUCCACAGAGAGGUUACCACUGUAAGUUUAUAACCACAGCAAAAUUCUCUACACUGCCAUAUGAAGUUUGCCUUGAAAACAAAUUCAGUUGAAAAGGACAGAUAAAUAUCUAAGUGUUUAAAAGUUUCCUGAAUGGCAACAGCAUUUGGUUACAAGAUUGGAAUUUUGAUAGCAAAUGUUUUGACACACCUAUCUAUGAGAAGGAAAAAAAAUACAAUACAGAGUUCUCAACAGAACUCUUAUUUU